GUUUCUAUGGUGUAAAAAUGCACAUUAGAUUUUCAUUCUAAAGGAAUAAAAUUAUUUUAUUAGAAAUA
Molecule: transfer RNA, 68 nt
Filed under: Nassarius conoidalis
Lineage: Eukaryota; Metazoa; Mollusca; Gastropoda; Neogastropoda; Nassariidae
Description: tRNA-Glu
Source: RNAcentral